Molecule: long non-coding RNA, 2427 nt
Filed under: Struthio camelus australis
Lineage: Eukaryota; Metazoa; Chordata; Aves; Struthioniformes; Struthionidae
Description: lncRNA (ENSSCUG00000001041.1)
Source: RNAcentral
UUUUUUUCUUUUCUUUUUCUUUUUUUUUUACAAUGUAUGAGAGAGACUUGAAAGUUUUGGAAUGGCUUAAAGUUCUUGUUUUUACUUUAACUAAGAUACCAAAAAUUUCCAGUCUUUGUUUUGCAGUAAGGUGUCUCGGGACAACAAUCUUAGAUCAUUCUUACUCUGAGGGCUUACACGUUAGGUAGAAGUGCAACGCGUGUAAAACCUCGAAGAAUAAUUUUAAUUUCCCAAAUUAGUUUUACGCUGCGGUUAAACAUACUGUUGAGUCAGGGUCAGGCAACGUUCAGCUUUCAGGAUCCUGACUACGGAUGUCACCGUUUCGUGAUCUUACCUGUCACCGCACUGCUGAGCGCUGGCAAGAGCUGAGUUUUGAGUGAAAAGGAGGGGGGGGNNNNNNNNNNNNNNNNNNNNNNNNNNNNNNNNNNNNNNNNNNNNNNNNNNNNNNNNNNNNNNNNNNNNNNNNNNNNNNNNNNNNNNNNNNNNNNNNNNNNNNNNNNNNNNNNNNNNNNNCUGCGCGGCCGCUGCGCGCCCCGGCGCGCUGCCCGGCGGCGGGGGAAGGAAGAGGGAGGGUGACCUGCCUCGGUUUUUGUCUGCCGAACAGAACUACUCUAAGUUAGCCAACAAGCUGCUUUACAACGUCUCGAUGAGCGCGGGCGAGAGCAGCUUUUUUUAGUAGUUUGGGUUUUGUUUUGUUUUUUUUUUUUCCUUUUUCAACGUUCUUUUGGUUGAGUGAGAUGCAGCCCUGAGUGCAGCACCAACAACCGAUCGGACCAGUAGGGGACUGUAAUGGUUAUGGCAACCAACUUGCAACACUACAGAAAGAGUGCAUUUCCUCCAAUUCUGAGUACUUACCUGCCGCUUCGUUGCAGGAAUCAGAAUAACCACAAGCGAAGGAAGACUGUCAAAGAUGACAAAGGGAAGAAGAGAAACAACAACUCAGCAUUUAGUGAGGAAGGUAAAGAAGGUAUGAUGAAACAAGCCCUGCUGGACCAGUACCACCUUGAAAUGUGUAAGGAUCUCUACAGACAAAGAAAUGCCACGUAUGUGCAUUACCGAGACUUGCUGAAUAAGAAAGUUCAAAAGCAGCGAAUUCAGAUUCAAAUGUCUGAUUGUAGGCUCAAGCAAAAUCUUGAACAGCAAAGAAGAAGAAAGUGUAUCCCUGGACAUCAAGUGCCAUACUGCAAAUUGUCUCACGAUGCUAAGUACCUCGAGUCUAUUCCUCAGUCCUGUAAUUACCUGAUUGUAGGACUACAGAAUGAACUGAUUAAGCGUGGGGUCUUAAAGAACCAACAGGACUGUGAAGACUUUUGGACUCUGAUUCCCCAGAGCUGUCACAGUUCACAGCUCAAAGGAAAACUUGAGGACAUAAAAUCAAAAAUGAUUGCUUCCAAAAGUUUGCCUUCCCGUGUCCCUGUAAGAACCAGUACAGCACAGCCAACUGAUGUUUUUCUAAGCCAAAGAUAUGGGAAGCUGAAAGAAAGCUCAGCCAAUGUGUCAGAAUCAAUGUGCUGCCAACCUCUACCUCAUCAUCCAAGUAAACACAUGAAGUCCCAAAAAGAAACUGAGCAAAUAUUUCCUAAGCUGCAGUUUUCUAGGCUCUCUGAAUUGCAAAAAAGACCCGAAGAGUUGCUCCAAACUCAGGAGGAGUACAGAAUUUCUAAGAGGAGUAAGAAAUAUUUCGAACAUAAAAAGCGUCUUUUUUACUUGCAUCAUAUCUAUCAUCUUGCCUUUCUUAAUAUGGCGUCAUCCAAGAGACGGCUAGAGCAAAACAACCAGUUUGCAGAUGUUGAAAAUGAGUGCAGUGUCCAUGAUCUGAUGAUUUACUUAUUUCCAAGUGAACAUAAAUCACCAUGUGCCACUAAGAGAGAGACGGAGGGAAAUGUAUUUCCAGGCUUGGCAGGAAGGAAACAGCAGGAACAGCAUUGCAAGAGAUCCUCUAAAGCACGCACGCUUUUCAAAGAAAUGAGAAAUGAAGAUAACGGAGCCAUUGAAAUUCCAGAGGAUUGGAAAUCGAGUGUCAGUGAUUUAGCCCUACAUGAAAUGACCACUGUGCCUCUAACCCUUGAAGAUGUGGCUCUGAAACAUCCAGUGCUGGAAGCUAAAUCAGUCAUUACUUAUUGGACUAAUUAUGCAGAUGAAGAAGAAGAAAUUCCCUAAAGUGGAAUAGAACAACUGAAAUGUAGAAGCUUACAGUAGAAAUUGCCUUUCUUUAAUUUCUCAAAAAGUUGCAGCAGUUAUAGACUAUAUAUAUACACACACACACACACACACACACAGGAAAGUCAGUGUAUUAAUGAUCACCCUGGCCCCAUAUGAAGAAAAGAAUUUUACUACUUACUAAUCAGGCUUGUAUUUGAAUGUAAAACUAACAUUAACAUUUCAAAACGCAAUAAAUAGAUCUUUUUCUCUGAAAAUUGUCCUUCU